RNAcentral lists this transfer RNA (83 nucleotides) under Treponema sp. RNAcentral's name for it is "tRNA-Leu". The record is from RNAcentral. Lineage: Bacteria; Pseudomonadati; Spirochaetota; Spirochaetia; Treponematales; Treponemataceae.
GCCGGCUUGGUGGACUGGUAGACACGAAAGACUCAAAAUCUUUUGCCAGCAAUGGUGUCUGAGUUCAAGUCUCAGAGCCGGUA